UCGGCCGGUUGGGAUAGUUGGGUCAAUAUGGGCUUAAGGUGGGCUAGAGAAGAAGAUGGAGAGAGAUUGGCCCGUGGGGGUAUGAUAACCAACUCCGAUACGAGUUGUGUUUGUAAAUAUUUGUUUUCGUUUAAAAUUAGAGAUAGAUCCUAGUCGGUUAGGAAAUCAAUUGUAAUAGGCUAUAAAUAGCCAUCCUUAGAGAUUUGUAAAACAACACAUCAAUCAAUACAAACAAUCUACUUUUUCAUCGUACUUUACUUUCAAGUCGGUGACUUCACCAAUACUUCUUUUUCUUUCACGAGUUCGUACGGGUUGGUAGGAUUGCAUCGACACGAUCUCCGGCCGAUUCUGUAAGUUCCGUUUAUCGAGUAAUAUCUAACAUUUAACUUCGGGCGCAUCGUUGUCGUUUCGUUUAGAUUUAUUCACCAGUUAUCGAUAUUUACUAGAAUUAUAGGUUUUAUCUAUUGUUCUAGUUUUAUCACCAGUUAUCCAGCUUGAGAUUUUGAGCUGUUG
This 513-nucleotide long non-coding RNA is filed under the name Setaria viridis. RNAcentral describes it as "long non-coding RNA (SVIR_LNC005503)". The record is from RNAcentral. Lineage: Eukaryota; Viridiplantae; Streptophyta; Magnoliopsida; Poales; Poaceae.